AAUACGUUCCCGGACCUUGCACACACCGCCCGUCAAGCCAUGGAAGCUGGGUGUACCUAAAGUCGAUAACCGCAAGGAGUUGCCUAGGGUAAAACUAGUAACUGGGGCU
This 109-nucleotide ribosomal RNA is filed under the name uncultured bacterium. RNAcentral describes it as "partial 16S ribosomal RNA". It matches the Rfam family "Bacterial small subunit ribosomal RNA", at positions 1365 to 1482 of the family's 1533-position model. The record is from RNAcentral.